Molecule: RNase P RNA, 307 nt
Filed under: Candidatus Collierbacteria bacterium RIFOXYB1_FULL_49_13
Lineage: Bacteria; Candidatus Collieribacteriota
Description: RNase P RNA component class A
Rfam family: Bacterial RNase P class A
About the family: Ribonuclease P (RNase P) is a ubiquitous endoribonuclease, found in archaea, bacteria and eukarya as well as chloroplasts and mitochondria. Its best characterised activity is the generation of mature 5'-ends of tRNAs by cleaving the 5'-leader elements of precursor-tRNAs. Cellular RNase Ps are ribonucleoproteins.
Source: RNAcentral
GUAGUAGUCUGGAAUAGCGCCCCGCCCCUGGCGGGGAGGAAAGUCCGGACAGCAGAAGACAGGGUGGCUGGGGAAACCCAGUCUCCCGCAGGGUAACCUGCGGGACGCGAUAGGGCCACAGAGACGAGUGAUGUGAAACGGUCGCCUUUUGGCGACACCCCGCCGGGGUGACCCGGCGGGGGUGGUAACCCGCCCCGCUGCAAUCUCCGACAGGUGCGUUAUCAGGCGUCUUCCCGAGCACCGAAGUAGAGAGCAUUAGAUAGAUGCUAUUCGUAAACAGAAUCCGGCUUACAGGACUACUAAAAAA